Non-coding RNA from Colinus virginianus (northern bobwhite), 86 nucleotides. NCBI's taxonomy places the organism in Eukaryota, Metazoa, Chordata, Aves, Galliformes, Odontophoridae. The record is from Rfam.
GCCCCGGUUCUGUCUGAUAUGUUUGAUAUGAGGUUGUCUGAUGGGAAACCAACUCAAUAUCAAACAUAUUCUCACAGCGCCGGGGC